Molecule: ribosomal RNA, 252 nt
Filed under: uncultured bacterium
Lineage: Bacteria
Description: partial 16S ribosomal RNA
Rfam family: Bacterial small subunit ribosomal RNA
Source: RNAcentral
UACGAAGGGGGCUAGCGUUGCUCGGAAUGACUGGGCGUAAAGGGCGCGUAGGCGGUUUGUACAGUCAGACGUGAAAUUCCUGGGCUCAACCUGGGGCUGCGUUUGAUACGUGCAGACUUGAGUUCGGAAGAGGGUCGUGGAAUUCCCAGUGUAGAGGUGAAAUUCGUAGAUAUUGGGAAGAACACCGGUGGCGAAGGCGGCGACCUGGUCCGAUACUGACGCUGAGGCGCGAAAGCGUGGGGAGCAAACAGG